GCACCUUUUAGAUAAUGAGGAACAAAAAGAUUCAGUGUCUUUUUGUUUUUGGAAAGUACAAGUACUCGGCCACGUCCAAUUAUUUGUAAUAUUUGUAUUUUUAUUGAUCUUAGCCUUUUUUUAUAGUUCGUUCUUAUGUUUUACUGUUACACCACUGUCCAAGGUUAGGGUGAGGUUUCAGAUCCCGCUAACAUGUUAAACCUGCCGCAUUCUCUAUGUAUGUGCCUGUCCCAAGUCAGGAGCAUGGAGCCAGUUUCACAAAAAAAACUUAUGAUUAAGAUUGAUUGUGAGUCAUGAACAAUUCAGUAUACUUACGAUCAUUCUUAGUCGUAAGUUUCUUCUGUGAAACCGACUCCUAUAAUUUAGUGGUUAUCGUUUGCUUAUGUGUUACAUAUUUGUUUUUGGUUAAUUUUUGUCUGCAUAGAUUAGGCCGUUGGUUAUCUCGUUUGAAUCGUUCGACAUUGUUAUUUCGGGGCCUUUUAUGACUGACAAUGCGGUAUGGGGUUUGCUCAUGUUGAAAGCCUUACGGUUGUUAAUUUCUGUGUCAUUUUGGUCUUUUGAGUAAAGAGGUGUCACAUUGUCAACCAUACCACAUCUUCUUAUUUAUAAUAAAUGCAUUGAACAAAAUGACUAAAACCACUAGACUCCUAUCAUUUUCCGGAUUGCCCAAAGAUAUAUAUGUUAUUAUUAUACUUUUUCAUGAUAUAUUCAUCUUUUGUCUUAGAUUGAAAAUAAAACUGUGAAAGAACCCAAAGUCAUCGCCCCCUAUCCUCC
RNAcentral lists this long non-coding RNA (774 nucleotides) under Mytilus galloprovincialis (Mediterranean mussel). The record is from RNAcentral. Lineage: Eukaryota; Metazoa; Mollusca; Bivalvia; Mytilida; Mytilidae.